GCAAAAGUCAUUUUAAAGGAUAUCUAAUGCUUGGAUAGUUUCAUCUGAGCCACUGGCUUAAUUCUAUUCACCUAUUCUAUUUAGUUAGAGAUGAAAAUCCAACAUACAGGCGUAGGAUCUUAUUUUGAGCUUGUUUGCUACAGCGGGAUCCUGCAGCAAGAGGAAAUGUGAAUUACUAUGUGGAUUAUAAUUAAUGAGAAAAAAAAUUUGUGAGGGAAAGUCUGAUUUUUUAAAGUGUAAAUUACAGCCUUUUUAAAGAUCAAAUACAUUAGAAGUUUGCAUUUCCUGCUGUGCGGGACAAUUCUCAGCCUAAAUGACUACCGACCCGUAGUACUCACGUCUGUAGCCAUGAAGUGCUUUGAAAGGCUGAUCAUGGCUCACAUCAACACCAUCAUCCCAGAAACACUAGACCCACUCCAAUUUGCAUACCGCCCCAACAGAUCCACAGAUGAUACAAUAUCUAUUGCACUCCACACUGCCCUUUCCCACCUGCACAAAAGGAACACCCAUGUGACAAUGCUAUUCAUUGACUACAGCUCAGUGUUCAACACCAUAGUGCCCUCAAAGCUCAAAGCUAAGAACUCUGGGACUAAACACCUCCCUCUGCAACUGGAUCCUGGACUUCCUGACGGGCCGCCCCCAGGUGGUAAGGUUCUCAGUUGCUGGUGGCCGGGAUGGGGUAUCUCAGCUCUUUGCAGGUCUCCUCCUGUGUACUCAUUCUCUCUGGCCCCAGAGCAGGGCCCUCAGGGAGGGGGCAGGAGGACUCCUGCUGGGGUGUUCUGGUGAGGGGACAGCCCUCUACCCCACUCUCGACUUGAUCCACCUUCCUCUCCGACUUGUUGUAUCCCAGGACAACCGUCCCCGGAGAGUAGAUGUAAAUGGACCCUGAAUCAAACACCAAGCACAAACAUUAGUCAAUUAAACUAUUGAAACAGGUGACACAUACAUUCCUAUCUGUUAUGCACAGUAAAUGCUGAUAUAAAAC
Molecule: long non-coding RNA, 985 nt
Organism: Oncorhynchus tshawytscha (Chinook salmon)
Lineage: Eukaryota; Metazoa; Chordata; Actinopteri; Salmoniformes; Salmonidae
Source: Ensembl